Molecule: long non-coding RNA, 229 nt
Organism: Puntigrus tetrazona (Sumatra barb)
Lineage: Eukaryota; Metazoa; Chordata; Actinopteri; Cypriniformes; Cyprinidae
Exons: 3
Source: RefSeq, a predicted model, not a curated record
GUCACUGCAGAUGUUAAGCAAUACUUCCCUAACAUACCUUUUGCUGCUACUUCAGCUUUCGUCGCUACCUGGGACAGUGUUCCAUACUAUAAUGGUGGAGGGGUGGUCACUUUGCAAGUGAUUUUAGCCUACAACGUUCAUCGUUCUUUCAUCCUGAUCCGUUAUGGAGAUGUUGCUGAAACAGAACAACCUUGGCAGGCUGGUUAUAACACUGUGGACUCUACAAGUU